This 253-nucleotide unclassified non-coding RNA is filed under the name uncultured Gammaproteobacteria bacterium. Its description in RNAcentral is "contains 16S-23S intergenic spacer region". It matches the Rfam family "Bacterial small subunit ribosomal RNA", at positions 524 to 776 of the family's 1533-position model. Lineage: Bacteria; Pseudomonadati; Pseudomonadota; Gammaproteobacteria. The record is from RNAcentral.
UACAGAGGGUGCGAGCGUUAAUCGGAUUUACUGGGCGUAAAGCGUGCGUAGGCGGCUUUUUUAGUCGGAUGUGAAAUCCCCGAGCUUAACUUGGGAAUUGCAUUCGAUACUGGGAAGCUAGAGUAUGGUAGAGGGAAGUGGAAUUUCCGGUGUAGCGGUGAAAUGCGUAGAUAUCGGAAGGAACACCAGUGGCGAAGGCGACUUCCUGGGCCGAUCCUGACGCUGAGGUUCGAAAGCUCGGGGAGCAAACAGG